GCAGGCGGCUGGACCUUGGCCCCCCAGAACCACACUACGCAAGCGCAGGACUAAGCCCGGCUCCGCCCCCCCUCCGGAGGGCGGGGCUUUGAAGUUCAGACCGGACCCCCCUGGACCCCCGAGGUCGGUGAGAAGUGGCUGGAAUACGUGAUGGGUGGCUUGUCUAGGUCAGGAGUUCACAGAAAUGAACGCCCGGUGGUGGUCCGCGGCCGCCCCCGCCGCCCGGACCCGGAGAGUUCACAUCCAGUGAGUUCCCGUCAGGUCCCGGGUGUCCUCCUCGGCUCCCCCCAGACGCGAACCCACGCCCUGGCUCGGUCUGCACCGGCGCUCUGACUCUGGCGCUCCACAGCCCCAGCCCCAAGGAGGAAUUUUGCUCAUGUUGUACUCACGGCGUCUUAGGCUGGGAACUUACCGUGAGACAGGGGUCGUGAGCCAUAAGUUGGGGAAACACUGGACUCGUCCUUAGAGGAUAUGAUGUCUACCCUAGAGAAUAUGAUGUCUACCUUGAAGCUAGGUAAAGAUAGCGCUGGAGUUAUAAGCUCUCUCUGGACUGCUGGCCCAGGGACCUUUAGUCUUUUUAUGUGCACACAUACACACACACACACACACACACACACACACACACACAUUCCAAAUUGGUUAAAAAUGGUUUAGAAUGUGUAUUGAUUUCUUAGUUUAAUCAUUAAGCUCCUUUUUCAUAAACUGGACUGGAUUGAGCAAGGCUUGUUUCUAGGAUAAUUUUGGAUCUCCAGGAGCUACAAACCCUAAAAGACUGUUCUGAAUUAGGCGGCUGUAGAAAUCACUGUUAACACUGUAUCCCAGCAAGAGCUAAUGACGCAGCACUAACCCUGGAAUAGCAUAAGAGUAGUGGAAGCCGGUCGGUGGUGAUGCAUGCUUUUAAUCCCUGUGAGUUAAUCUCUCUGAGAUCGAGGCCAGCCUGGUCUACAGAGAGAGUUCCAGGACAGCCAAGGUUACACAGAGAAAUCUGUCUUGAAAAACCAACCAAACAAACAAGUUGAAUAGCUGAAAAAUGAGUACCGACCAUCGAAUGGGCAGCCAUGAAACCGAACUGGAGACCCUGGUAGCAAGCACAUCCAAACAUUUUCAGUUCCUUUGAAAAACCUCAGGAAAGGGCUAGGAGAAUGUGACCACUUUACAAAUACCUUCUGGCAGGACCUGAUCUCUUAGUGGUCAGAUGAGUGAAACAUAGAAAAAGGAAAUGCUCCAAUAGAAUAAAAUUGAUGGUAGAAAAUAAAGGUAGUCUAUAGUUUAGGUCUAAAAUUCAAAGUGAAGAAACUUGGUUUGGGGUUUUUUGAUGUGAGGUCCCCUCUUCUCCUUAAAAUGAGUUCUAGGUCCCAGCAGUUCAAAACUGAAUGGAGGAGUUCAGGAAUAUUUUCAUUUGUUUUUUCCCCCUUCUAGAUUGUCUCUUAACACUAAGGAUUACUAUCGUUUGUGUGGUGCUUAACUUGAACUAUACCGUGCGUUCCAUGAUUUGUUCCUUUAUAUGAUUUAAUUUUCAUGCGUUUUGUUUUGUUUUGUUUUGCAUCAGGGUGCCUCUGCAUACACCUGGCUGGCUGUCCUGGAACUCAUUAUGUAAACCAGGCUGGCUUCUAACACACAGAGAUGCACCUGCCUCUUCCUUCUGAGUGCUGAGAUUAAAUGUGUGGGCCACCACUGCUGGCUUUGAUUUUAUUUUCAAGGUUACUGUAGUCAUUUCCAUUUCACUAAUGUGGAAAUGGUGGUUAUCACUAAGUAACUAAUAAGGAAAGAAACAAGUCCCCGAAUGAGACCAAAUACCUAAUUCUUUUUUUCUACAUUUGCUGGGAGUUUGGAAUUCCCUUUUCUUCCUUCUCUGUAGAUCUCUGUGCUACCUCUCAUCAUUUAACCAGUUCCAGAGGUUAAAUGUUUUCCAGACUUAACGAAAGGCACGUGUCAACACUUCUCACCUCAACCUACUGUAAAGUCACUGUGAUGUGUAUUGUGUCACUCAGGCAUCCCUAAUAAACAGACAUCUAAUCUGAUGUGUUUAUACACUCAUUCACUAAAUGGUUUUUUAAAAUUAAAAUGACUUCAUUUGA
This is a long non-coding RNA of Peromyscus maniculatus bairdii (prairie deer mouse), 2078 nucleotides long. RefSeq lists it as uncharacterized. The record is from RefSeq and is a predicted model, not a curated record. Lineage: Eukaryota; Metazoa; Chordata; Mammalia; Rodentia; Cricetidae.